UCUACUUCUAGACUUACGUGACCGGAGAAGGUCCUGUCGAGAACCUUGCGAAGCACCUCAAUGAUCAUUUUGGCAACAAAUUGCUCACUGUCAUUGCUGGAACAGCUGAAAGAACACCCACCCUCUGAUUUUAUUGUCUUUGUUCCCAAGUUUCUCCAGUAACUGUGUUUUGCUUUUUAUACUUUUCUUGAACAUCA
Long non-coding RNA from Hibiscus syriacus, 197 nucleotides. RefSeq lists it as uncharacterized. The record is from RefSeq and is a predicted model, not a curated record. NCBI's taxonomy places the organism in Eukaryota, Viridiplantae, Streptophyta, Magnoliopsida, Malvales, Malvaceae. The transcript has 3 exons.